GCCCUGACAGUCCCAAGCACACCCUGCAAAAUGACAUCGGGAGCCUGGGGUGGUGAGUUUGUUUCACAGGGAAAAGUGCUGGUGUUCAUGUUCAUGGGCCUGUGGCCGUGAGUCUGCGGCCACCUCCAAAAUGUCCGAAUGGCGAAGGAUGCGUCCCAGACCCAACGGGCCACGACCUUGAACAUGUGCUGUCCUGACAUUCCCAAGCACACCCUGCAAACUGACAUCAGGAACCUGGGGUGGCUCGUUGCUGUCCAAAUCCUCCACCUGAGACCAUCCUCAGGAGACUGCCUUCACCUGCAGCCAGCUGGGUCCAUGACAGAUGAACCAUGGUGCCAGCUGAGGUCACUCUGAGAGGAUCAGGCUGAAGAAAAAGAAUGCAGGCUGCCACGCUGACACCCUGAACUGAGGGUAACCUCUGGCAGGGGAAGGGGAGCAGGGACAGCCUCUGACCUCUCCACCCACCUCAGCAGCUGUCCCAGCAGUACCUCUGACUGCCUGACUCCUUUUGCCUGGCUGUGAACUGGAGUAGUGUCCCCUCACCCCAAGAGUUCUUUGUGCUGCUUGGGCAUGUGGUAUUGAGGGAAAGCAGGAGAAAAAGCAGAGAGACUGAUGCAAGGAGCAGAAAUCAUACCCCGAGGCACAGAUGCAGG
This is a long non-coding RNA of Vidua macroura (Pin-tailed whydah), 653 nucleotides long. RefSeq lists it as uncharacterized. The record is from RefSeq and is a predicted model, not a curated record. The transcript is spliced from 3 exons. Lineage: Eukaryota; Metazoa; Chordata; Aves; Passeriformes; Viduidae.